This 699-nucleotide long non-coding RNA is filed under the name Daucus carota (carrot). RNAcentral describes it as "long non-coding RNA (DCAR_LNC002165)". Lineage: Eukaryota; Viridiplantae; Streptophyta; Magnoliopsida; Apiales; Apiaceae. The record is from RNAcentral.
AUUUUUUGGACGUAUAUUGACUUCUAUGAUAUUGUUAAGCCUGUGUUAAAUCAUUUCUUGGACAUAUAUUUGCUUCUAUUUGAUUGCAAUAUCAAGCAUUGAUCUAAGAAAAUGAUAGAAUUGAAUUAUUACAAUAUGGCAGAUCUCUUACCAUUCGCAUUAUGUAUUCUGUAUAUUAAUCAUCAAUAUAUCAAGUAACUUUGUUGUGUUCCACAACUUUUGUAGCUUUAUGUGAAGAAAUGGUAAAAAUACUUUCACCGUUGUGGGAUUCUUUUUGUAUGUUGAUCAGCCAAGGGACCUUCUACAACCGUGAAUGUGAUACUGAGUCACAAAAUCUCACAUUCUCAGCUUAUAUUUGGAAACUAAAUAUAGAUGAGAACUUUUCAGUAGGAGCUCUGAGAAAAAUACACACAAUUUUGAUGGGCCUAAAGCUGGCUCAAGUUUGCAUCUUUGUGAUGAAGUGUCAGAUUAUGUGGUAAAGGCUAAUAAUAUCGUCGGAAAUCAUCAUGGGAACCAUAAAGAGAGUGAUGAUCUACUCUUGAUAUGCAAGCACAGCCCGUCAAAUUGAAAACCAGCAAUCCACUUUGUUUGAUAUACUUCAAAUAAAAUUCUCAACCUUGGAAAUGUGCCUUCUAAUAGAAGUACCUCUUCCCCUGUAUCAUUGUAGCAACAUGAUGAAAGUCAAAAUAUUUAAUUUAG